CUAAUCUUUUUGGAAUCAGUUCAGAAGAUUCAAAAAGAUUCGAAAAGAUUCAAAAUGAUUCGGCGGGAUUAAUAAAAAACGGGCGCCCGUCAGUCAUAUCAAAAUAACUGAUUCAUUUCGUUCAGUGUUUGUUUUGGUUUCGGACGACGCUAAUCGCUGAUCGGAGGGAUCGGAAAUUUUUCAUUAAUUUUAAUGAUCUUCAGUUUGAGUAGACCGGCGACCAAUUGAACGCAAUUAGUUUGCCGUCAGUGGUGCUUCGCGGCGACAAGGAUCUGUGUUGGUCCGUCCGUCGCGACCGAUUGCGCCGUCUCCACCAGCCGUUCGGAUCCGACAUUAGCAAGGUCACGAAUCCGAUAAAGUUCCAGGAAAGGCUUCCCGGAGUAUCCUCGACCUGUGAGGGUGUGACUGCCGCAGCCAUCAUGCAACAACGGAGAAUGCCAAAAAUGUGAAUCUUUGCAGUUGGUUGGACUCACCGUCCCUCAUGAAAGGCAGCUGAACACACAGUGCCGGCGCCUCCCUCUAUUUGGCUGAAAUAUCUGUCUGCUCAAGCUCUUGAAUUGAUUGGAAAGGCCGCCCGUGAUAACUAGAAGUCCAGAACCAUUUCACGUCACUUGUAGUUGGCCGUUUGAAAUUACGAGAAGCUGAAAAAUCUGCUGUCCGGAGUAAACCAUCGCUCAGGGUGCCAUGCUGUUACCAAGUCCGAGAUAAACAAGUAAAUCACCAGGAUAACAAGUGAGAGGUAAUUAAUCAAGAUGGACAGAGAUCUGAACUUCGAAAUAUAACUAAAUCAAGCAAGUAUCAAGUGAAUAAA
Molecule: long non-coding RNA, 811 nt
Organism: Aedes albopictus (Asian tiger mosquito)
Lineage: Eukaryota; Metazoa; Arthropoda; Insecta; Diptera; Culicidae
Exons: 2
Source: RefSeq, a predicted model, not a curated record